RNAcentral lists this ribosomal RNA (432 nucleotides) under uncultured bacterium. RNAcentral's name for it is "partial 16S ribosomal RNA". It matches the Rfam family "Bacterial small subunit ribosomal RNA", at positions 29 to 506 of the family's 1533-position model. The record is from RNAcentral.
AACGAACGCUGGCGGCAUGCCUAACACAUGCAAGUCGAACGAGACCUUCGGGUCUAGUGGCGCACGGGUGCGUAACGCGUGGGAACCUGCCCUUAGGUUCGGAAUAACUCCCCGAAAGGGGUGCUAAUACCGGAUAAUGUCUUCGGACCAAAGAUUUAUCGCCUUUGGAUGGGCCCGCGUUGGAUUAGCUAGUUGGUAGGGUAAAAGCCGACCAAGGCGACGAUCCAUAGCUGGUCGGAGAGGAUGAUCAGCCACACUGGGACUGAGACACGGCCCAGACUCCUACGGGAGGCAGCAGUGGGGAAUAUUGGACAAUGGGCGAAAGCCUGAUCCAGCAAUGCCGCGUGAGUGAUGAAGGCCUUAGGGUUGUAAAGCUCUUUUACCCGGGAUGAUAAUGACAGUACCGGGAGAAUAAGCUCCGGCUAACUCCGU